This is a long non-coding RNA of Vitis riparia (riverbank grape), 517 nucleotides long. RefSeq lists it as uncharacterized. The transcript has 3 exons. The record is from RefSeq and is a predicted model, not a curated record. Lineage: Eukaryota; Viridiplantae; Streptophyta; Magnoliopsida; Vitales; Vitaceae.
UCCAAACACAUCUCUACAAACACAUUCUUCCAACUCCUCCCCACUUGUGCCUUCUAGUAACUCACUACCUCUCCAUGCUACAAACCAAUCCCCACCUUAUGAGUUGGUCCCAAUAGGCGAUUUGUCUUCUGGGGACCUCUAUUUUUUGUUCUUUCUCUCUCUCUCUCUCUCUCUCUGAGCCCUUGCACAUUUUUCUUUUUUCUCUUCUCUCUUUUCUUCUCUGCUAGUCCUAUCUCUUACUCUAUUUGACCACAGCCACUCUCCUCCUCCCAAUAUAUUGCCCACCAAUUCUCCUCCAUCCCAUUCCUUUUCUCUCUUUUGUGUUUUUUCACAAUACCAAGUGGGAGCAAUGCUCAUCUCUAAACAACCCAACUUAUUCCUAGUACUCCUCUUCACCUUAUUGUUUGCUGCAUAUUUCACUCAAGUGUGCAGGAUCUAAGUCUCAAGUAGUGCCUCCAUACCAUCAAAGAGAAAUAGUACACUUGCAGAGCAGUGGUGAACAAUGGAUGAAUAGGAA